Molecule: ribosomal RNA, 465 nt
Filed under: uncultured bacterium
Lineage: Bacteria
Description: partial 16S ribosomal RNA
Rfam family: Bacterial small subunit ribosomal RNA
Source: RNAcentral
GACGAACGCUGGCGGCGUGCUUAACACAUGCCAGUCGAACGGAAAGGCCCUGCUUGCAGGGUAUUCGAGUGGCGAACGGGUGAGUAACACGUGGGUGAUCUGCCCUGCACUUCGGGAUAAGCCUGGGAAACUGGGUCUAAUACCGGAUAGGAGCCAUUUUUAGUGUGAUGGUUGGAAAGUUUUUUCGGUGUAGGAUGAGCUCGCGGCCUAUCAGCUUGUUGGUGGGGUAAUGGCCUACCAAGGCGGCGACGGGUAGCCGGCCUGAGAGGGUGGACGGCCACAUUGGGACUGAGAUACGGCCCAGACUCCUACGGGAGGCAGCAGUGGGGAAGAUUGCACAAUGGGCGCAAGCCUGAUGCAGCGACGCCGCGUGGGGGAUGACGGCCUUCGGGUUGUAAACUCCUUUCGCUAGGGACGAAGCUUUUUGUGACGGUACCUAGAUAAGAAGCACCGGCUAACUACGUG